This 1333-nucleotide ribosomal RNA is filed under the name uncultured bacterium. RNAcentral's name for it is "bacterial SSU rRNA". It matches the Rfam family "Bacterial small subunit ribosomal RNA", at positions 28 to 1381 of the family's 1533-position model. The record is from RNAcentral.
GAUGAACGCUAGCAGAAUGCUUAACACAUGCAAGUCGAACGAGAAUCUGAGAGUAGCUUGCUACACUUAGAGGAAAGUGGCAGACGGGUGAGUAACACGUACAUAACAUACCCUGGAGAAUGGAACAACUGUUGAAAGGCAGCUAAUUCCGUAUACGAUCUAUAAGAAGAGAUGCUUAUAGAUGAAAGAUUUAUCGCUCUAGGAGUGGUGUGCGGACUAUCAGUUAGUUGGUGAGGUAAAAGCUCACCAAGACUAAGACGGAUAGCCGAUCUGAGAGGAUGACCGGCCACAAUGGGACUGAGACAAGGCCCAUACUCCUACGGGAGGCAGCAGUGGGGAAUAUUGCACAAUGGAGGAAACUCUGAUGCAGCAAUUCUGCGUGCAUGAAGAAGCCUUGCGGGGUGUAAAGUGCUUUUUUGGGUGAAGACGAAUGACGGUAACCCAAGAAUAAGGGAUGGCUAACUACGUGCCAGCAGCCGCGGUAAUACGUAGGUCCCGAGCGUUAUCCGGAGUUACUGGGCGUAAAGAGUCUGUAGCCGGUUUAAUAAGUCUAUUUUCAAAUACCAGAACUCAAUUGUGGAGAGGGGAUAGAUACUGUUAGACUAGAGUAAAGGAGAGGUUAGUGGAAUUUCCUGUGGAGAGGUGAAAUUCGUUGAUAUAGGAAGGAACGCAGAAAGUGAAGACAGCUAACUAGCCUUGUAACUGACGGUGAGAGACGAAAGUUUGGGUAGCGAACAGGAUUAGAUACCCUGGUAGUCCAAACUGUAAAUGAUGCACGCUAGGUGUUGGUCUUAAGGGAUCAGUGCUGUAAUCAAACGAGUUAAGCGUGCCGCCUGUGGAGUAUAGUCGCAAGAUUGAAACACAAAGGGAUAGGCGGGGGAACACACAAGCGGUGGAUUACCUCGAUUAAUUGGAUAAUAAGCCAAGAAUCUUACCUGGGUUUGAAAUAUGAUGUGUCACAUGUGAAAGCAUGUUAUUAUAUACUUGUAUAUAAGCGUUAUACAGGCGCUGCAUGGCCGUCGUCAGCUCGUGCCGCGAGGUGUCUAGUUAAGUCUAGGAACGAGCGCAACCCUCAUACCUAGUUAGAAUGUCUAGGUAGACUGCCUGGGUAACCAGGAGGAAGGAGAGGAUAACGUCAGGUCACUAUGGCCCUUAUACCCAGGGCGUCAGAGAUAAUACAAUGAGUAGUACAGAGGGAAGCGAAGCUGUGAAGUGGAGCAAAACUUACAAAGCUGUUCUAAGUGCGGAUUGUAGUCUGGAACUCGACUAUAUGAAGUUGGAAUCGCUAGUAAUCGUGGGUCAGCCAUACCACGGUGAAUAUGUCCCUGUUCCU